RNAcentral lists this transfer RNA (64 nucleotides) under Xenostrobus securis. RNAcentral describes it as "tRNA-Tyr". Lineage: Eukaryota; Metazoa; Mollusca; Bivalvia; Mytilida; Modiolidae. The record is from RNAcentral.
UUUAAGGUGGCUGAAUUUAGGCAGUUGGCUGUAAACCAACUUAUGAGAGUACCCUCCCUUUUAA